RNAcentral lists this ribosomal RNA (1305 nucleotides) under Triticum aestivum (bread wheat). Its description in RNAcentral is "partial small subunit ribosomal RNA". Lineage: Eukaryota; Viridiplantae; Streptophyta; Magnoliopsida; Poales; Poaceae. The record is from RNAcentral.
AUGUCUUCAAAAAGUAAUGUUCGCCGUUUGUCCCUUCAGAAUAGAAAUGAAGAUCAUCGAGCAAAGCCUUUCACAAAUAUCAUGAGUAUGUCACGAGUGAGGUCAAUUACUAUCUUUCCACCUGCUGUUAGUAUCAUGCUAGCUCUGUCAAGGUUUGAAGUUCUGCGUGUACUUGAUCUUUUGGACUGUAACCUUGGGGAAAGUAGCAGCCUGCAGCCUAACCUCAAGGGUGCUGGACACUUAAUUCACCUAAGGUACCAAGGUCUAUCAGGUACCGGAAUUAGUAAACUCCCGACUGAGAUAGGAAGCCUGCAGUUUUUGGAGGUAUUGGAUAUUGAAAGAAAUUAUGACCUAGAUGAAUUGCCGUCCACUGUUUGUAAUUUGAGAAGAUUAAUCUACCUAAGUGUUUAUCCCUGUAAGGUGGUUCCAGCUCCUGGUGUGUUGCAGAAUCUGGCUUCCAUAGAAGUGUUGAGGGGGGUCUUGAUCUCUCUGAACAUUAUUGCACAAGAGCUUGGCAAACUAGCAAGGCUGAGGGAGCUUCACAGUCGCUUCGAUGAUGGUAGUUUGGAUUUCUAUGAAGGUUUCGUGAAGUCUCUGUGCAACCUACAUCACAUCAAAAGUCUAAGUAUUGAAUGCAAUCCAAGAGAAACAUCUUUUGAACUGAUGGAUCUCUUGGGAGAACGCUGCGUGACUCCUGUACAUCUGCGCAAAUUUGUGUCGUGCAUGCCCAUCCAACUCUCUUCACUGCGAGGGUGGAUAAAGAGAGACCCCACACAUCUCUCGAACCUCUCCGAGUUAAUCCUCGAUUCAGUGAACGAAGUGCAGCAGGAGGACGUGGAAAUCAUUGGGGGGCUGUUAUCCCUUCGCUUUCUCAGAAUAAGGAGCACCCACCAAACACAACGGCUGCUAGUCAUCCGUGCAGAUGGGUUCCGCUGUCUGGUAGUCUUUAAGUUGGAUUGCGGGUCAGCCACGCAAAUAAUGUUUGAACCAGGAGCUUUGCCAAGGGCGGAAUCAGUUGAGCUCGGCCUGGGCGUGCGGGUGGCGAAAGAGGAUGGCAACUGUGCCUUCGACUUGGGCCUGCAGGGGAACCUGCUCUGCCUUCGGUGGGGUGUCAGGGUUUGGAUGUAUUGUGGUGGAGCAAGGAUUGGGGAGGCAAAGGAAGCAGAGGUUGCGGUGAGGCACGCCCUCGACGCCCAUCCCAGCCAUCCCCUGAUUUUGAUUGAGAUGAGGCCGCGUAUACAAGAAGGUGCUCAUGAUGACGAUUUGUGUGAGGACGAGGUGGACUGGUGGAGAACUGAUUUCUGA